GCACUCAUGAGCCGGAGGGCUGCACUUUCAGUGAGUGGGAAGGGUGAGUAACACGUGGACAACCUGCCUCAAGGCUGGGGAUAACAUUUGGAAACAGAUGCUAAUACCGAAUAAAACUUAGUGUCGCAUGACAAAAAGUUAAAAGGCGCUUCGGCGUCACCUAGAGAUGGAUCCGCGGUGCAUUAGUUAGUUGGUGGGGUAAAGGCCUACCAAGACAAUGAUGCAUAGCCGAGUUGAGAGACUGAUCGGCCACAUUGGGACUGAGACACGGCCCAAACUCCUACGGGAGGCUGCAGUAGGGAAUCUUCCACAAUGGGCGAAAGCCUGAUGGAGCAACGCCGCGUGUGUGAUGAAGGCUUUCGGGUCGUAAAGCACUGUUGUAUGGGAAGAACAGCUAGAAUAGGAAAUGAUUUUAGUUUGACGGUACCAUACCAGAAAGGGACGGCUAAAUACGUGCCAGCAGCCGCGGUAAUACGUAUGUCCCGAGCGUUAUCCGGAUUUAUUGGGCGUAAAGCGAGCGCAGACGGUUUAUUAAGUCUGAUGUGAAAGCCCGGAGCUCAACUCCGGAAUGGCAUUGGAAACUGGUUAACUUGAGUGCAGAAGA
Molecule: ribosomal RNA, 604 nt
Filed under: Leuconostoc mesenteroides
Lineage: Bacteria; Bacillati; Bacillota; Bacilli; Lactobacillales; Lactobacillaceae
Description: bacterial SSU rRNA
Rfam family: Bacterial small subunit ribosomal RNA
Source: RNAcentral